GAUGAACGCUGGCGGCGUGCCUAAUACAUGCAAGUCGAGCGAACGGACGAGAAGCUUGCUUCUCUGAUGAUAGCGGCGGACGGGUGAGUAACACGUGGAUAACCUACCUAUAAGACUGGGAUAACUUCGGGAAACCGGAGCUAAUACCGGAUAAUAUUUUGAACCGCAUGGUUCAAAAGUGAAAGACGGUCUUGCUGUCACUUAUAGAUGGAUCCGCGCUGCAUUAGCUAGUUGGUAAGGUAACGGCUUACCAAGGCAACGAUGCAUAGCCGACCUGAGAGGGUGAUCGGCCACACUGGAACUGAGACACGGUCCAGACUCCUACGGGAGGCAGCAGUAGGGAAUCUUCCGCAAUGGGCGAAAGCCUGACGGAGCAACGCCGCGUGAGUGAUGAAGGUCUUCGGAUCGUAAAACUCUGUUAUUAGGGAAGAACAUAUGUGUAAGUAACUGUGCACAUCUCGACGGUACCUAAUCAGAAAGCCAUGGCUAACUACGUG
This 497-nucleotide ribosomal RNA is filed under the name uncultured bacterium. RNAcentral describes it as "partial 16S ribosomal RNA". It matches the Rfam family "Bacterial small subunit ribosomal RNA", at positions 28 to 507 of the family's 1533-position model. The record is from RNAcentral.